GCCCUGUAUUGGAUAGUUGCUCCGACUUAAAUCGGGGAGGAAAGUCCGAACACAUAGUCUUAGCCAAGCUAGGACAAACGUAGCGGGUAAUGCCCGUCAGGAGUAAUCCUAGGGUUGCGAACAGUGACGAACCGAUUUAGUUCGGGUGAAACGGCAAAAUACCUACGUGUGUGCAAGAUCGUGCCCUGAUGCCGGCCUUCGGGUCGGAGCGGGGAGAAUCGCUUGAGUUUUAGAGUAAUCUAAGACCUAGAUAAAUAACUAUCCAUUUUUUACGAAAGUGAAGGAGGACAGAAUUCGGCUUAUAGAUAUAAGGCUAAA
Molecule: RNase P RNA, 318 nt
Filed under: Candidatus Nomurabacteria bacterium CG22_combo_CG10-13_8_21_14_all_32_8
Lineage: Bacteria; Candidatus Nomuraibacteriota
Description: RNase P RNA component class A
Rfam family: Bacterial RNase P class A
About the family: Ribonuclease P (RNase P) is a ubiquitous endoribonuclease, found in archaea, bacteria and eukarya as well as chloroplasts and mitochondria. Its best characterised activity is the generation of mature 5'-ends of tRNAs by cleaving the 5'-leader elements of precursor-tRNAs.
Source: RNAcentral